Siniperca chuatsi (mandarin fish) is the source of this 2350-nucleotide long non-coding RNA. RefSeq lists it as uncharacterized. The record is from RefSeq and is a predicted model, not a curated record. NCBI's taxonomy places the organism in Eukaryota, Metazoa, Chordata, Actinopteri, Centrarchiformes, Sinipercidae. The transcript has 3 exons.
GACGUCAGCUUGAGGCUCUGGGGACUUUUAUUUAAUUUAUUUUUUUUUAAGUCAAAGAACUGUAAACGGACUAAAUGAUUGAUGUAUUAAUUGAAAUAAAUAAGCAACAGAUAUGGUAAUAAUCAUUAGUUGCGGCCCACUUCCACGAGGCCCGACUGAUAACUAACAUUGAUCACACGCGGACAAUAAAGCAGACGGAUUGACGACACGUUACGUGACAGGAGGCAGCCGAUCAACAUGUUUCGUAAGACAGCAGUUAAAGACUCAAGAUGGAGGGGGGGUGGGGAGGGGGGGAGAGCUUUUUCUUCUUCACUGAAACCUUCAAUUUACUGAGAACAAAAGCUGACCACAAAAAUCACGCUGGCGACAAGCCUGGGUAUCCAACAACAUCCUCAUUUUACUCUCCCUCCCUCUCUCACGAACGCACAGACUGAGUUCUGUUGACAUCAUGAGUUCGCCUCAUAAUUACUUCCAUCCGAGUCUCGUAAGGGGCCUUAAUUUGAAGGGUUAGCCUCCCCCCUCCCCCCUCCAAGCAUUAUCUGUGUGCUCAAAUACUUGGCAUAGCAAUGAUGUGUGUUUGAAGGUAAUCCUCGCUGUCUCUCCCCUUAAAAAAGUAGCCUGUAUGACUAGAAGGACGGGAGGGAAGCCCCCCCAUUGUGACUGCACAAGGGCUUCAACCAGGGGCGGCCAUUUUGCUGCGAUUGCUCUGAGCAACCAGGCGGGCUGAAGAGCACUCCUGCGCUCGGCGCGAUUUCUUUUACAUUUUCUGGCUUCUUUGUUUUUAAAUUCACUCUCCCUUUAUUCCUUUUCAGCGUUGUUUGUCUCGCCAUGUGCAUGUGUGUGAGAUCCCCCCCCCCAUCUUUCCAAAGAGAGGCCAAUAAAACUCCGCUCCAAAAAGAAAAUCCAGAGUAGUUUUAGAUCCUCGAUCACAGCGGUUCCAAAAAAAAUAAAUGUUUGUGUGAUUUACCCACACACAGUCAGACGAGCUCAUCCACGCCACCCAUCGUGUUUUAAACAGACUCUUUAGUGUUAUUUAACACUAUUAAUUAUACAAAAUUGUUAGAAUAUUUAAAUAUUUCAUGGAGUUGGGUCAGUUUGGUCGUGCUUGCAUUCGUACAGCUCCCACUUUGCGUGGCGCGGGGUGGAUGCUUCGGUCCGUUAUCCAUUACUUUUAGCUAACUAUUUCAAAUUCUCUGUUCGCUUGCUAACAAGCUAACUAGGCUCCGUCUCAAUACGUGGUGUUACAGCCGAGGUACGUAUUGUGCAGUCAGUCUAUCAUCAGAAACGCUUUAUUGAUCCAAACUCUUUCGUUACAGCUGCUCACUGUCACGUCAGCGCACACAGGAACAGAAGCACUAAUAGAAAUAUAAAUAAUAAUAAAAAUAAGUCCACAACGAGACAAUUAUUUCUAGUAAGAAAUAAGAGAUGUGCAAUUCAAAAUAUAUAAAACACUAUAAUACAGCUAAGAUUAAUUAAUCACAGCUGGUGGCUCAAUUACAUGUACUAAAGAUCAACAUCAUACCAAUUUGUAAUCCUAUUUUCCUCCUUAAUACAAAUAUAUGGAUAUAUUUUUCUAAAUCAAAUCAUAAUUUUGUUCCCACGUAAGCCCUGGCAACUACAGGAGAAACCCCCUGGGGGUUCAAGUAGCCCUGGUUGGGGAUCACCGCUCUAUUAUGUCCUCAUUUAAACCCCCAUACACGGGGCACAGGGGCGCUGUGAUCCUGUGUGUGUGUGUACUUUAUCCUAAACCUUAAAAUGGUGACUACCGGCUCUUCGUUUCCUCGCCGCGGCGUGCUGGAACAAGCCCACUGCGUCACAUUACAGGAAUCACACUCAUUCGGAGGAUAAUGUGGAGUCAGGCUUAUUCGAUUACGUAUGCCAGCAUGAGCCAUAUUCACUCAAAUGGCUCUUUUUUUUGCCCUCGCACUAAAUAUUUUACGUCAUUCCUUGAGGCAUGUUUUAAUCUGAGUUUUUAAAAUCAGCUUUUUGCUGAGCAUGCUGGUCUUUUACUUGAGGGAUUUAUGCAUUUGUGCUUUUCUCACUAGUUUGAAGCGGGCGGGACGCCGGACUUCCACGCACCAAUACGGAUUUAGCUAAAUUUUAAAUGAAAAUAACGGCAGUCGAGGGGGUCGCUCUGAAACCAGGUGCUUUAAAACGGGACCGCUCACACCUAAAGCCUCUACAAAUCAGUGUGCAGUAAGCGGACGAGACAGAGACGAGAUCAGCCCACCGCACACACCUCUGCUAGAGCUGGAGAUUAACCUCAGCAGCCAACAUGAAUGGAAGAUAUGGUUUUUGAAAAAGUAGCAUGCUGGACAAGGAGGGGAGGCGGUUGGAGAGCGGACGGAAG